CCACGGGCGCACGGCGGAUGCCUUGGCACAGGGAGCCGAUGAAGGACGCGGCAAGCUGCGAUAAUCCCCGGCGAGGAGCACACAUCCUUCGACCCGGGGGUCUCCGAAUGGGCGAACCCAUCCACAGCAGUGUGGAUAUCCCCGCCCCGAACACAUAGGGGCGGGGAGGACAACCCGGGGAACUGAAACAUCUAAGUACCCGGAGGAGAGGAAAUCAAUCUCGAGACUCCCCGAGUAGCGGCGAGCGAAAGGGGACCGAUGGCCAAACCGUCGAGCGGGCAUACCCGGCAGGGGUUCCGCCGGCGGGGUUGCAGGGCCGCGCAUCCGGGGGCUGCCGCCCCCGGGCGCAGGUCCGGCUGGGGAGCGGAACGGCAUGGGAGGGCCGGCCGCAGCGGGUGACAGCCCCGUACGCGAACCCAGACCGGACGGCGCGACGCGGUCCCUGAGUAGGGCCGGGCACGUGAAACCCGGUCCGAACCUGGGUGGACCACCAUCCAAGCCUGAGUACUACCCUGUGACCGAUAGCGCACCAGUACCGUGAGGGAAAGGUGAAAAGCACCCCGGGAGGGGAGUGAAACAGUACCUGAAACCGUGCGCCCACGAGCAGUCGGAGCACCUAUACGGUGUGACGGCGUGCCUUUUGUAGAAUGAGCCAGCGAGUCGCUGGCGCGGGGCGAGGUUAACCGAAAGGGAGCCGGAGCGAAAGCGAGCCUUAACAGGGCGACUUGAGUCCCGCGCCGCGGACGCGAAGCCGGGUGAGCUAUCCGUGGGCAGGCUGAAGCGGGGGUAAGACCCCGUGGAGGGCCGAACGCACGUCGGUUGAAAACGGCGGCGAUGACCUGCGGAUAGGGGUGAAAGGCCAAUCAAACCCGGAGAUAUCUCGUUCUCCCCGAAAUAGCUUUAGGGCUAGCGUCGCGCGUUCACCGCCGGAGGUAGAGCACCGGAUGGACGAGGGGGCUUCGCCGCCUACCGAAUCCAACCGAACUCCGAAUGCCGGCGGCCCAGAGCGCGGCAGUCAGAGCAUGUGGGCUAAGCUGUGUGCUCGAGAGGGAAACAGCCCGGACCGCCCGCUAAGGUCCCCAAGUUCCAGCCGAGUGGCAAAGGAUGUGCGUCCGCCCAGACAACCAGGAUGUUGGCUUAGAAGCAGCCAUGCAUUCAAAGAGUGCGUAACAGCUCACUGGUCGAGUGGACAUGCGCCGACAAUACACGGGGCUAAGCUGGACACCGAAGCGGCGGGAUUUUGAUUUUCAGAAUCGGUAGGGGAGCUUCCCAUGGGCGGUGAAGCCGCCGGGCGACCGGCGGUGGAGCGCAUGGGAGUGAGAAUGCUGGCAUGAGUAGCGAGAGACGAGAGAGUAACUCGUCCGCCGUGAACCCGAGGUUUCCUGGGCAAGGCUAAUCCUCCCAGGGUCAGUCGGGGGCUAAGGCGAGGCCGGAAGGCGUAGCCGACGCGCAGCAGGCAGACAUUCCUGCACCGCGCACGCGGCGCUACGACCGACGGGGCGACGGAUGGGGGUGGCUCGGCGGGGUUCUGGACGUCCCCGUGAUGGAGCGCGGCCCGCGGACCAGGGAAAUCCGGUCCGCAGAAGGGCGAGGCUCCGGACGAAGCGAUUGAGCGAAGCGAGUGAGCCCGAGGUCCCUAGAAAAACCCCUAGGCAGGCGCGUGCGCGCCCGUACCGCAAACCGACACAGGUGGGUGGGUAGAACAUACCGAGGCGAUCGGGUCAACCAUGGUCAAGGAACUCGGCACAAUGGCCCCGUAACUUCGGGAGAAGGGGUGCCCGCGCGUACGUGAACGGACUUGCUCCGGGAGCGGAGGCGGGCCGCAGUGGAGAGGCCCAAGCGACUGUUUACCAAAAACACAGGACUCUGCAGAAGCCGCAAGGCGACGUAUAGGGUCUGACGCCUGCCCGGUGCCGGAAGGUCACGCGGAGGAGUUAGCCGCAAGGCGAAGCCCCGAAGCCAAGCCCCGGUAAACGGCGGCCGUAACUAUAACGGUCCUAAGGUAGCGAAAUUCCUUGUCGGGUAAGUUCCGACCUGCACGAAAGGCGCAACGACUUGGGCGCUGUCUCGACCAUGGACCCGGUGAAAUUGCACUGGUCGUGAAGAUGCGACUUACCCGCGGAAGGACGGAAAGACCCCGUGAACCUUCACUGCAGCUUGGCAUUGGCCGCUGGUCCCGCGUGUAGAGGAUAGGCAGGAGGCGAAGAUCCGGAGGCGCCAGCCCCCGGGGAGCCGCCCUUGGAAUACUGCCCUCGCGCGACCGGCGUCCUAACCCGAGGCCGUCAACCGGCUCGGGGACCGUGCCAGGCGGGCAGUUUGACUGGGGCGGUCGCCUCCUAAAGGGUAACGGAGGCGCGCGAAGGUCCGCUCGGGACGGUCGGCAACCGUCCUUUUGAAUGCAAGAGUACAAGCGGGCUUGACUGCGAGGCCCACAAGCCGAGCAGGUGCGAAAGCAGGCUCUAGUGAUCCGGCGGCCCCGAGUGGGUGGGCCGUCGCUCAACGGAUAAAAGGUACUCCGGGGAUAACAGGCUGAUCUUGCCCAAGAGUCCACAUCGACGGCAAGGUUUGGCACCUCGAUGUCGGCUCAUCGCAUCCUGGGGCUGGAGCAGGUCCCAAGGGUACGGCUGUUCGCCGUUUAAAGCGGUACGCGAGCUGGGUUCAGAACGUCGUGAGACAGUUCGGUCCCUAUCCUCCGUGGGCGCAGGAGAAUCGAUGGAGGCUGCCCCCAGUACGAGAGGACCGGGGUGGACGCACCUCCGGUGAACCGGUUGUCGACCAACGGCACGGCCGGGUAGCCGCGUGCGGCGCGGAUAACCGCUGAAGGCAUCUAAGCGGGAAGCCGUUCCAGGGAUUAGUUCUCCUUCCGGUAAGGGCCCAGGUAGACUACCUGGUCGAUAGACGGCAGGUGCAAGGCUGGCGACAGCCUCAGCCGAGCCGCACUAAUCGCCCGAGCUCUUCCGGA
This 2962-nucleotide ribosomal RNA is filed under the name human gut metagenome. RNAcentral's name for it is "bacterial LSU rRNA". It matches the Rfam family "Bacterial large subunit ribosomal RNA". The record is from RNAcentral.